Molecule: ribosomal RNA, 478 nt
Filed under: uncultured bacterium
Lineage: Bacteria
Description: partial 16S ribosomal RNA
Rfam family: Bacterial small subunit ribosomal RNA
Source: RNAcentral
GGAUUAACGCUGGCGGCGUGCAUAACACAUGCAAGUCGAACGAUGAAACUUAACUGAUUUCUUCGGAAUGAUUUUAAGUGGAUUAGUGGCGGACGGGUGAGUAACGCGUGAGUAACCUGCCUUGGAGAAGGGGAUAGCCUUUGGAAACGAAGAAUAAUACCCUAUGAUAUGAUAAUAUCUCAUGAUAUUAUCAUCAAAGAUUUAUCGCUCUAAGAUGGACUUGCGUCUGAUUAGUUAGUUGGUGAGGUAACAGCUCACCAAGGCAGCGAUCAGUAGCCGGCUUGAGAGAGUGUACGGCCACAUUGGGACUGAGACACGGCCCAGACUCCUACGGGAGGCAGCAGUGGGGAAUUUUGCACAAUGGGGGAAACCCUGAUGCAGCGACGCCGCGUGAUUUAGAAGGCCUUCGGGUUGUAAAAAUCUUUUGUAUGGGAAGAAAAUGACAGUACCAUACGAAUAAGGACCGGCUAAUUACGUG